Molecule: ribosomal RNA, 253 nt
Filed under: uncultured bacterium
Lineage: Bacteria
Description: partial 16S ribosomal RNA
Rfam family: Bacterial small subunit ribosomal RNA
Source: RNAcentral
UACGGAGGGAGCUAGCGUUGUUCGGAAUUACUGGGCGUAAAGCGCACGUAGGCGGCUUUGUAAGUUAGAGGUGAAAGCCCGGGGCUCAACUCCGGAACUGCCUUUAAGACUGCAUCGCUUGAAUCCAGGAGAGGUGAGUGGAAUUCCACGUGUAGCAGUGAAAUGCGUAGAGAUGUGGAGGAACACCGAUGGCGAAGGCAGCCCCCUGGGCUGAGAUUGACGCUCAGGCACGAAAGCGUGGGGAGCAAACAGG